RNAcentral lists this ribosomal RNA (40 nucleotides) under Hyphoderma setigerum. Its description in RNAcentral is "partial 28S ribosomal RNA". The record is from RNAcentral. Lineage: Eukaryota; Fungi; Basidiomycota; Agaricomycetes; Polyporales; Hyphodermataceae.
GCGUUUGACCUCAAAUCAGGUAGGAUUACCCGCUGAACUU